UGCCAGCAGCCGCGGUAACACGGGGGGCGCAAGCGUUAUUCGGAAUUAUUGGGCGUAAAGGGCGCGCAGGCGGUCUUGUCAGUCAGGUGUGAAAGCCCGGGGCUCAACCCCGGAUGGUCACUUGAAACAGCAAGACUUGAGUACUGGAGAGGAAAGCGGAAUUCCUGGUGUAGAGGUGAAAUUCGUAGAUAUCAGGAGGAACACCGAUGGCGAAGGCAUCUCUCUGGGCCGAUAUUGACGCUGAGGCGCGAAGGCGUGGGGAGCGAACAGGAUUAGAUA
RNAcentral lists this ribosomal RNA (279 nucleotides) under uncultured bacterium. Its description in RNAcentral is "partial 16S ribosomal RNA". It matches the Rfam family "Bacterial small subunit ribosomal RNA", at positions 506 to 784 of the family's 1533-position model. The record is from RNAcentral.